Molecule: ribosomal RNA, 433 nt
Filed under: uncultured bacterium
Lineage: Bacteria
Description: partial 16S ribosomal RNA
Rfam family: Bacterial small subunit ribosomal RNA
Source: RNAcentral
AACGAACGCUGGCGGCAGGCCUAACACAUGCAAGUCGAGCGAUGACUUCGGUUCUAGCGGCGGACGGGUGAGUAACGCGUGGGAAUGUGCCCUUCUCUACGGAAUAGCCCUGGGAAACUGGGAGUAAUACCGUAUACGCCCUAUUGGGGAAAGAUUUAUCGGAGAAGGAUCAGCCCGCGUUGGAUUAGGUAGUUGGUGGGGUAAUGGCCUACCAAGCCGACGAUCCAUAGCUGGUUUGAGAGGAUGAUCAGCCACACUGGGACUGAGACACGGCCCAGACUCCUACGGGAGGCAGCAGUGGGGAAUCUUAGACAAUGGGGGCAACCCUGAUCUAGCCAUGCCGCGUGAGUGAUGAAGGCCUUAGGGUUGUAAAGCUCUUUCAGCUGGGAAGAUAAUGACGGUACCAGCAGAAGAAGCCCCGGCUAACUCCGUG